GUCCAUGCCGUAACGUUGGGAACUAGAUGUAGGGACCAUUCCACGGUUUCUGUGUCGCAGCUAACGCAUUAAGUUCCCGCCUGGGAGUACGGCCGCAAGGCUAAACUCAAAGGAAUUGACGGGGCCCGCACAAGCGGCGGAGCAUGCGGAUUAAUUCGAUGCAACGCGAAGAACCUUACCAAGGCUUGACAUAUACCGGAAAAGUUCAGAAAUGUUCUCCCCGCAAGGUCGGUAUACAGGUGGUGCAUGGUUGUCGU
Molecule: ribosomal RNA, 257 nt
Filed under: uncultured bacterium
Lineage: Bacteria
Description: partial 16S ribosomal RNA
Rfam family: Bacterial small subunit ribosomal RNA
Source: RNAcentral